Molecule: long non-coding RNA, 438 nt
Organism: Helianthus annuus (common sunflower)
Lineage: Eukaryota; Viridiplantae; Streptophyta; Magnoliopsida; Asterales; Asteraceae
Exons: 3
Source: RefSeq, a predicted model, not a curated record
UUUACCAUUUUUUUUCUCCCUCUACUCUCAUAAAAGACUCCUGGAACAAGGAACCAUCUGUCGGAGUUCAGACGGAGUGAACCUGGACAUCGCCGGAAAUAACAAAGCUUGCCAGAGUUCGAAGCUUCUGCCGGAGCAAACAUAGUUUACCGGAGACUCGACAGAGAUCGAGGUACGCCGAAGUGGACGACGGAACUCAAACCCGGUUGUUUUGAUACAAGGACUUCGCCGGGGGAAUCGAAGAAACUCCCCGGAGAAGGACCCGCAACCGUCGGAACUCGCGCCACACGAUUCGGAUAACCGUUUCGUUCUCUUGGAUUUCUCAAUCUUUACUCGUGCGUUAUUUCAAGGAAUCUCCAUACGCAACCAAUGUUUGUUAGACAAGAUGAUACUAAGUGAAGAAACAAGACUUAAGUGGACAUAGAAACACACUUAGAC